This 238-nucleotide ribosomal RNA is filed under the name uncultured bacterium. RNAcentral's name for it is "partial 16S ribosomal RNA". It matches the Rfam family "Bacterial small subunit ribosomal RNA", at positions 1266 to 1500 of the family's 1533-position model. The record is from RNAcentral.
GGCAAACCCCUAAAAACGACCAUCCCAGUUCGGAUCGCAGGCUGCAACCCCGCCUGCGUGAAGUUGGAAUCGCUAGUAAUCGCGGAUCAGCAUGCCGCGGUGAAUACGUUCCCGGGCCUUGUACACACCGCCCGUCACACCAUGAGAGUCGGGAACACCCGAAGUCCGUAGCCUAACCGCAAGGGGGGCGCGGCCGAAGGUGGGUUCGAUAAUUGGGGUGAAGUCGUAACAAGGUAGC